Molecule: long non-coding RNA, 27797 nt
Filed under: Gossypium barbadense (sea-island cotton)
Lineage: Eukaryota; Viridiplantae; Streptophyta; Magnoliopsida; Malvales; Malvaceae
Description: long non-coding RNA (GBAR_LNC005076)
Source: RNAcentral
GGAAUUACAGUUCUAUAUAAUCUCUUCUCUUAAUUAGAGAUCACAAGCUAAUUGUUUAGCAAUUAAACACUUGUUUAUAAGGAAAUAUAAAUUUCUAGAUACAUAUGGUUACUACUUACCUCUACUUUAUCAUUUAGGUAAAAAAGUUUCUAAAAAGAAUUUGAAAGUAUUUACUAUUGCUGUGAAAAAAAUAUUUUUAAGAAAUAAAAUGAUAAUUGUAAACAUAAUAUUGUAAAGUAAAAGAUCUAAUGAUGGAUAAAAAGAUAACUUUAUUAAAAAAACAUUUUUUUCUAAAGCCAAAAGCUAAAAUUUUUGGCUUUUUGACUUGGGUUAAAAUCCCAUUUUAAAGUUUGAAAAGGUAUUUCUUUAUCCAAAUUUUUAGUUUAAAAUUAAACAAAGUCUUAAUAGAGUGGAGAUACAUUUUUUUUAAAAUGUAAAAACUAUAAAAAUAAUAAAAUUAAAAUUUUUUGAAAAUCUUCACUAGUAAUUUAUUAAUGUAAUUCCUCUAAUUCAUGACUUGGAUGAAGUUAUUGAUCUCCCGCUAUUUUUAGAAUCAAAUUGAAUUAGUCAAUCGAACUAUUGGAUUAGAAAUCGGUUGAGAUACUGAUUUAGAAUAAGGGGUCAGAUUGGUUAACUUGUGAAUCGAUUGAACAGGUUAAACCGACAGUUGAAUCUAUUUUUCUAUUUUUACUUUUUUUUUUUAAAAUUUAUACAAUCGAACCGGACAAAUCGAAUUUAUCUCUAAGAGAUUAAGGAUAUCCUAUGAGGGUAACACACUUACGAUAAGGUUAUUGGACGAGCAUUGAUCGAGUUGCUUUCGUAAUGAUAUGUCAUAAGGGAAAGCUCAGUCACGAUACUAUAAUGGGAUGACUUCAUUACUAAAUUAGUUUAUAAUUAAUAGGUGGUGAAAAGCUGGAACUUAUUUAUAAAUCAUUUGAGCCCUAAUCACAUAUAUCCAAUCGGUCCCUUCGCUAUCUUGUUGAAAUCAGAAAUGAAUUGCAAAUUGAAUAAAUUAACAGAAAUGGAUAGAAAUGGGAACAUUCAGGAAUGAAUGUGAUUUUCUCACUAAAAAUGGAAAUGGUUUGAGAAUUAAUUUGUAACAAUCCGUUUUCAAUGGUGUUAAAAAUAGUGAUUUCGGGAUCACAAAUCCGACGAAUGAGUCCAUAAAUAUUAUUAUUUAAUAUUUACGAGUCAAAUAUAGUAUUAUAUAGAAUUGUUAUCGGAUAAUUUUUGCUAUUUAAAUAUAUAGUUAAGUACAAGUGGUUUGUCCUUAUAAUCAAGUGGUUUCAGAAAAUGAGGUAUCAAAACCUCAUUUAUAUAAACCGAACCCGUAACAAAUAUUUUUAUAAAAUAUUUUCAGAGUGAUUAUAUAGAUAUAUUGAAGUUUGGUCCGAAAAUUUUAGUGAUUUGAUAGCUAAUUAAAGAAAAAUGAUUAAAUCGUAAAAGUGGUAAAAAUUAAUUGGUAUUGAUUAUUAUUAACUAAAAUGUUUAAAUAGUUAAAGUGAGAGGAUCUUUAUGAAAAUUAGACCAUAAUUUUGAUAGGGAACGACAUUAGGUGAAUUUUAUAAUGAAAUUUCAAUUAAAAUAAAGUUAAAAUAAAAUAAAUAAAACUUAAAACAUAAAAGAAGAAGAAGAAGAAGAAACAUCAUCUUCUUCUUUUAUCCCUUGUGAUCGAAACCAUGGAAAUGAAAGCUUGAAGCAUUUUAUUUGUUUGGCGAUUGCAUGUAAGUGUUAUUUUUGUCGAUUUUUUUGUAAAUUUUAUAUUUUUCAAGUCAUUGUAAUUUAAACUAUCUAGUCUAGGGGCUAAUUUGUGACAGUUGUCAAAUUUUGGAAAAUUUAUCAUUUUCGUUUUUGAAGCUUUUUAAUUGCUAAUGUUUUGGUUGGAAGCUUGAUAGUGAAUUUGAGCUAGUUUGUAAAGUAAUUUGUAUAGUUUUUAAGUUAAAGGAUUUAAUUAAAAAGUAUGUGAAAUUUGGAAGGGUUUUGUUGAAAAAAUUCAGAAUUUAAGGGCUGCUUUUAUAUGGUUAAAGGUUCAGUAAAAAUUGGGUUUAUGAAUUAAUUGUGAAAAUAGACUCAUUUUAAUAUUAAGGACUAAAUUGAAUAAAAUGUAAAAGUUUGGGACAAAUGUGAAAAUUAUAAAUAGGAAAUCAUAUGCACUAAAUUGAAUAUUAUAUAAAAUUGAGGCUAAUAAGUUGAAAUAAAAUCAGGGGAAAGUUGCUGACUUGACCUUAAACUUUUACUAUUUCUGCAAUCUAGCCCUAGUAAGUUCUUACGGUUUAAAUUAGAAUAAUUUGUAAUAUUAUAUUGACUUGUAAAUUAUGAUUUGUUGAAUAUUCGUAUUUUUUAGUAUGUCUCAUAUUUCAGUCAAAUUUGAGAGAUAAUCUCCCAGUUAAACUUUGUUUAUUUAUUUCAAUCGAACUCUGAUUAGUCUAGAUUAUUCUCUUAUUAUUUGACUUAUGAAUUUAGCCUAUAAAUAGUCUCUUUUAAAACCUUAGAAAAUACACACAUUAAAAUAUUAGAACUCAUAACACUUUUGUAGAAUUUUGUGUUUACGUCUUUAGGUUUCUUUCUUUUUGGGUUUUGGGGUUUAAAUUUUAUCUCCAUCUUUCGUACUCUUCGUUCUUUUACCAUUAUAGUAAAAUUAUUUUUUCCUAUGUUUUUUUUAUCCUCUUUGGAGGGAUUUUUCCACAUUAAAAUUGUGUGUUCAAUUUCUCAAUUUCUUCCGCUAUAUUUUUCUUGUUCGUUGUUUAACCGAGUCAAUCCCCAACACGCAUAUAUAUAUUUGUAUAAUGCUAUAAUCAUAAAGUUAAUUCAAGGUGAGAAAUGUAAUUGAUUUGUAAAAUAUAAUGUGAUUACUUAUAUUGAACCCGGAUGAACAUAUGAUAGGAUACAAUUGGCAUGCCAAUAAGUUAUAUUGUGCGCUGUAUGGGAUUGACUUAUGAUGAGAUGAUAAUUCCUGACUUGUUAUUGUCCGUUGAAUAUAUCGGAGUCCAACAUUUGUUGCAGACUACCUGUUACAUUUACAUGAUUCUGGCGUGUUACCGGGGCGAAUGUGAAGCCUUCGGGCUUGACAUUUGGUGCCAAGAUGUGUUUCAGAGGGAUGUUAGCCUAUGAGCUAGGCACUUGAUACCCAAGUGUGUUCUCAGUUGGUUUGACUUGUUUGAGCGUUCUAGUAUGUUCUAGAUGGUUGUGGUUGAUCAGAUUAUACAAUAUGUGUAUAAACAUGAAGACUCACCUGUGGAAUGGUUGUGGUUGACAGGAUUAUUGUUUAUUAAUUAUUAUAGUAUAAUUGAUAUGUUUAUAAGGUCAGUCUGAUCGUUUCGACCUUUGAACCUACUAAGCUCUAUUGAAGCUUACUCGUGUCAUUUUUCCUGUUUCUUUUACAGUAAAGUUGUCAUGAUUUUAACACAAUCAAAUUCGGGUUGAAAAAAUUAUUUAAUUGGGAAAUUAAUUUAUUUAAAUUAAUUUAUGAUGUUUAUUUUGGAAAAUAGGAAAAUAUGUAUUGGGUUGGAUUGAAUUAUAAAGUAUUGGGUUAAAAGUCUAGGAAGCACUUAUAAUUGGACUCAAUAUAAGAAAGGAUCAAAUCCUCAUCAUAUUACAUAUGAGUGAAAGCACACCCUAUUAGCAGCUUCUCUCUCUCCUAGCUCAACUAGGAAGUUGUUUUUCUAUAAAAUAGAUUUCAACUAAUUCAACAAAGGGUUCACUUAUUGUCUCUAGAUGAUACCGAUAGGACUAAAUACACAAUAAGUUUUACACAGCUUUAAGAUAUUUUUGUUCUGCUCGAAAAUAGUGAGAAUUUAUUUCUAAGUACAAAUUUUGUUUCCAGAAUAACAAUUCUAUCGAUUUCUAUUAAUGAGAGAUUUUUGUUUUCCCACUAAAAGUAAAAUAAAUAAUUUCUGGUUGUGUUUGAUUUGAAUUUGUUCGAGCCCACACUCAAAGCAGUUAGUGGUACGAGAGUAGCGGAGAAGGUCAUUCCGUUGAAAGCCGAGAACAAGAAUGAUCCGUAUCGCCGAAAACACAGGUGUGAUUUCAGGAAAAGUUGAUUGCUAUAAACAUCAUAAUCCGGCUUGAUUUUUAAAAUUUUAAUUUUUCAUUGUGUGAAAAAUCAUUUUCGAACCGGAUUUUUUCCAACAAAUCAAUUUAAUUAAUGGUGUUACAAAAAUGCCAUUACAUGUAUAAAAUAAUUUAUAUUAUCAUGAGGGUACAUUUAUCUUUUUAAUAAAACUAGUAAAAAUUUUACAUAUGGUAAUAUUUGAACUCAUGCUAUCAACAUUUACAAAAACUUAUUUUACCAUUUCAACCAAAGUUUUAUUUUGAUAAUUUUAUACAUUUUAAUAUUCUUACACAAUUUCUUCGACGUCGUUUGUAUAUAUAUCGAUAAUCUUUACUAAUUUAAAACCCUGAUUGAGUUUCAUGUUACUAGUCAAGUGAGACCAACUCAAUUAAUGAAUCUCUACUAAUAUUAAAGCCUUGAUUGAGUUUGGUAUUAGGAGUCAAGUGACACCAAUUCAAUUGAUGAAAUUACGAAAAUAAUAUUACACAUUUUGAAUAAAUUAUGUUAUUAAAAGGGUAUUUUUUAUUAUCUUUUUUCUUAUUUCAAUAAAACCAAUAUAAAAUUGCAAGUAUUAAGAUUUGAACCCAUGCCAUUAGAAGCUCUACUAUUAUUAAAGGUCAGAGAGAGUUUGGUGUCAUGGCUUAAGUGACAGCAACCCAAUUAAUAAAAUUAUGAAAAAAACCUUACAUAUUUUGAAUAAGUAAUAUUAUUGCGAUGAUACUUUUAUUUUUUUUCGUAAAAUUGAUAAAAAAUUUACAAAUAUUGAAAUUUCAAACAAUGAAACAUUAACUUUACCAUUGCAACAAAAGUUUUGUUUUAAUUUAUUUUGUACAUUUUAACAUUUUUAUGCAAACUUUAUUACAUCUAUCAAUUGUAUAUCUCUAUUAUUAUUAAAGCCCUAACUUAGCCUAGUGUAAUGAGUCAAAUGACAUCAACUUAGUUGAUGAAAUUAUGAAAACAACCUUAUAAAUUUUGACUAAAUUAUAUUAUUACGAUGGUGCUUUUUCCUUUUUUUUAUUUUUAUUAAAACCAAUAAAAAUUGCAAAUAUUGAGAUUUGAACUCUUUUCAUAUAUUUCAUUGUUUAUUGUAAACGUACAUCUAUUGUUUAAAUAUGUAAUUUUUACACGUACAUGCAUAUAGUAGAAUUAAAAAUAUAUAUAAUGUUAAAAGGUGAGGGUUAAAUCUUGUUGGAAGACUAUUUUAAUUUUAUAAAAAAAUCUGAGAUUGUUUUAUUUUCACUUUAAUACCUAAAAUUUUCAUUGAUGGUGGAUUUUUUUUAUAUAUAUUUUGCUAGUGACAAUGAUGUAGCACCAAUUUUAUUAAAGAAUAUUAAAUGUUAAAUAUACUAAAAUCAAAAUUUUAUUUUUUUUUGUUUAAAUGAGAGGGAGUGUGAUUAAAGGUGAAAUUAUUAAUUAUAUAAAAAAUAAGAUUAUAAAUAAAAUAAAAUAAAACUUUAGAAAAAACAAAUAAAUGUAUGGCAUAUUAAAAAAUUAAAAUAUAAAAGAAAGAAGAGAAAUUACAAUUUAAGUAAUAACAAAUAAUUUCCAAAAAUUACAAUUAUUAAUUGAUGUUAUGUUUUGUAGCAAAUAUAGUAAUGUAACUGAUGGGUAUCUAAUCCAAUAUUAAAACUGGACUAAUCAAAAUUAAAAUAAUUUUGCACCAAAUUUGUUGUGCCUAAAACUUGCACAAACCUGCCACAAUCAACAAAAAGGGGUUAAAUUGUUGAAAAAAUAGUAAAUAAAAUUUAUUUCACAGUCACCAAUUUAAUAAAAGCUUCAACCUUAUGGACAGUUAAUAUUUUCUCACUUCUCAUCAAACAACAAUCUUAUACCACCAAUCCUUCCUUACUUGCUCGAUAAUUAACUAAUGCCUAACGAACAACCUUAUAAUUUAAUUUUUUGACAAGAAAAACUUUAAUGCUAAAGUAGCAUUUAAUAUAAUAGAAAGUGAUAGCUUUCUUGAAAAUUUAAUUAGUUAAAAAGUGAUUUCAACGUUUGAUAUCUUAAAUUUUUUUAUUUUUUAUUUUACCUUUUUUUUUUGUAGUCUUAACUUUCUCAUAAACAUGAUAAUACAAUUCCCAUGAUAAAAUGUGAAAAAAAAAUUCUCAUGUAAGUUAGAAAGUUAAAAAAUUAUUUAGCACAAAAUUAACUUUAUUUUAUAUUAAUUUAAUUUAGCGUAUUAAUCUAUUAAAUGUAGAAAAAAAAGUUAUUACCUCCUUACUCUUACAAACUCUCUUAUUAUCUCUUAUUAUUUCAACUGUUACUUCAAAAGUAAUUUUUUUUUCUAAUUUUAUUUUCAAUAUUUGCAUAAUAUAUUAUUUACAUGUUAUUUUAUUUUCUAUUAUUUUCCUCUCUUUCCCUUUUUGAUAUAUUAAUUAAAAUUUCAAUUGCAUUAUAGUAUUCGUUUUCUAUAUAUGCAGGAUUUUUUAUAUUCAGAAAAAAACAUUAAGAUAAAUUCAAAAUAUUUUUUAAUUAAAAUAAUACUUUUAAAAAUGAUCAAUUAAACUAUUAUUAAAUAUUUAAUCCAAAGAUUCAUUACUAAUGAAUUUUAUUGUAAAAUAUUAUUAAAUAUUUAAUCCAAAGAUUCAUUACAUUUUAAAAAAAGUAUUUAGUGAACCAAACAUGAUAAUAUAACUUUCCAGCAAUUUUUAUAAAUACUUUUUAAUGUAUACCAAACCUUGCAAAAUAAUAUUUCUAACAAUCACAUUCCUUAAAAUCAUAACAUGUGAAAAUACCAAACACUACCUAAUAAAUAAAUUCAUCUGCAUGGAUCAAAUUAUAUGGUAAUUAUGGAUCAAAUUAUUUUUACCAACUAUAUGUUAUUUCGAGCAUCAAAUAAGAAGCCGAGAAAAAAUUAGAAAAGAAAAUUACUAAAUUCCGGAACUAAUAUGAAAAAAGAAAUUAUAAACUAAAUUGAGAAAAAAAAAAUCCAAAUUAGGGAAUGAAGAAUGCUUUCCCCCACUAAACUUCCCCUGCCAUUAACCAUGUCUAUUUUCUUCAUUAUAACAGGUUAUGAACAUGUAACAAUAAUUUGUUUUAUUAAGGAAUAGGGAUUAAAAAGUAUGAUUAAUAUCAAUUAAAAACUUAUGUAGACUUACAUUUAUGCUAAUUGAUUGGAGCUUUUCCAUGGGCAAAAGAGACAAUCCAUUAGUUUGAACAGUCAUGUUGAAUGAUGAGUUAUUAUUCUAAUCUUUAUAAGCUUAACCCCAUUAGGAAACAAAUUUGUUCACAUAAAAAAAAACUGAAAUAUAUCUAUAAUUUUAGUCAAACUUACCUUAAAGGAAUUAGAUUCUAUAAACUAUAGGCCUGCACAAAAGUUGAGCAUCAUAUCUUGAAGAGAUAAAUAGUUCAAUGGCAUAAAGGAUUAUAGUAAUCUAUCAAACGCAUAUAGAGAAAGAAAGUUAAAAAUAUGAAGAUAAAUGUAUAUUAAAUGAGAAGAUAUAAGAGAAUUGGUCCUCAGAUGUGACAUAGCUGCAGAGUUGUGGUCGGGCGGCGCCCGCCCUUGGUAUUUAUGCUUUGGUUCAGAGAAACUAGGAUACCUCUUAUAAAUAACCUUAAAAAAACAUAAUAUUGAAUCUUUCAUACCUUACACUUGUAUUAGGAAUAUAUGUAUAUAUAUCUACACACCAUUAUUUUUCUUUAUCAAAUAUUAUUCAUUUGAGUGCCAAAUCUAGCAUAUGCAUCAAUUAAUAUUGUUUCAAAAGUGCCCAAUCACAAAAAAUGUAUUUAACAAACCAAACCCUGCCUUUUCACCUAGAAGAUCUAAUCUUGUUUUUCUCAUCCUGUCAAAUUUUGACAUGUUAUUUAUCUUUCUAUUAAAGCUUCAAUAGAAACGUUUCUUUAACUUAGUCCUCAAGCUGCUAUAACUUCUUCACUCGUUCAAUACAAAGAAGAAAAAUUGGGUCAUUAUCGAGAUUAAAAUCAAUUCCUUCCUUCUCAUUUAUUGUACAUGAAAUAUUGAAUAAAAAAAAUUACAUUAUUGAUACUUGUAUUAAAGGGUCGUAGACAAUACAUAAAAAGCAACAUUGAGGGAUACAUUAGAGAUAUGAUUGUAAAUAUAUUUGUUUUAAAAUCAAUAAAUUGAUUACUCCUCAUUAUCAUAAUCUAAUUAUCUUCAGGAAGUCUGAGUGAAAGUUCCAAUAAGGAUAUAUUUUUCAGAAAAUGACAAAUUUGCUACUCAACUACUUGAGGAUCACAUUGUAACCUUGCAAAUUUAAAAGAAAAAUCAUUUUCUUUUUCUAUUCACUUUGAUAGUGAAAUGAAUAAGACUAUCCAAGGCAAGCUAAACCCAGAUAUCUUCUAAGUUUCAUCUUAUUUGUUUUGGCUUUACUCCUAUACAAAGGCAAACUAAGAUAAAUUUAGGCCUGGAAUUGGUUCUGUAGCCAAAAAUACGAGUGAUAAAUUGACCAUAAAUGAACAAAAUGGAGUAAAACAGAUAGAUAUCAAGGGGGUAAACUCGUUGAUUAGGCUAUCCCUAUCUAAUACCAUGAUUACAAGUACUAUUGGAGCUCUUGUUGUCAAACAAAUGAGAACCAGCAGCCGGAGAAGAAUCUUAUGAUCCAUAUAGCAAAAGCAAGGACUUAAACAACUGUCACAUUGUUUGCAAACAAAAUCAUAUCAAAAUUAAUACGAUACAAGAAAUACUUAUCUGUUAAGUUCUGCCCGUGAUGGAACAACUGGUACCAGAAAAUUCCCAUACCAUGAAUCAAAUUUCUUAAAAUUUCCAGUGCAGCCGUCUUGUUGUGCUUGAGCUACAGCAAAAUUUUUUUCUUGUUGGAUUCUGAAACUAUUAAUUUCACUUGUUUGUACACCUGGAACCUGAUCGGAUAGACAUAUUAUAACUUAAACAAGGUUUAAAAAGGGUAGAAAAAUGAAACAUCAUGAGAAUAGAAGCAGGAGAAAAGGCUUUACCCUCGAACUACACGUUGGUUUUGCAUCUUUGGGAGUCUUUGAAGCAGGUGAAGCAACAGUCCUACAAAAAUAAAACAAAAUCCCAAGUAAGGACUCAUCAUGAGUUUAUUCUUCAUGCGCCAUGGCAUAUGAACAAUUUAACAACAGAAUGAAACAACAUGAUGCAACAAACUGGCAAGAAUUUAAGCUCUCUUUGUUAGAGUGGUGCUAUCCCACAUUAGUUUAAUUUUUGAUUGUCCAUGAUCUCACAUUCAAGUUAGACUUUUCCACCUAUUACCAAUUGGCUUUAUCUUAGAUGCUUAACAUGAUAUUAAAGAACAAGUUUGGUAAUGUUUUUCUUUCUUGUUAUUCUCAUCUUUUACCUCUUCCAAUUUUGUAAUAUGAUAGGGUCUUCCAUCUCCAACUACAUACAUGGAUGGGUGCCUGUUAAAGUGGGUUUAUCCCAUAUUAGUUAAAUCCUAGAUUGCCUAUAAUGUUAUAUUUUAGAUUGAAUGCUUAACAUUCUUUUUCUUGUGGAAGCUUUGGCACAUUGCUUGUGAGAUUGGAACUUCAGGCAGGGGAUAUGAAAUAAGAACCAAAUCUUUUCUUCUAUUUAGCAAGAAACGGGUAUAUGCUGGUUUUACGUCUGAUUGUACUCUGUACUGAUAUGAUUAUAAUUAUAGUUAUGCGGACAUGCAUUUUUUUGUGAUUGUACUUGUAAACUCCUUCUCAGAAAAAAGUGUGUUGAGAGCGACUAUCUACUUUCGACUGUCUCACUCCCUCAACGGAAGAUAUUGUCUCCGCGUCAGGGUUUGGUCUCCCAUACUCUAAGAAGAGCCCAAAGGGGCUCACAGAGUUUAGUGAUUGCCUCGGCUAGUGGAGAUACAACAUGCAAACUCACGGGAGAAGUGUCAGUACUGUGCAAAAUUUUAAUUAUGCAUAUUGCGCCUUAAGGGAUUCGAACCACCAACCUUCGCAUCCAUGGUACCACUUGGCCCACAGGCACAAUAUGCAUAAUUAAUAUUUUACACAAUAUUGACACUUCCCUCGUGAGCUUGCAAGUCGUAUCUCACCAACUGAGGCACUUUUUAAACUCCGUGAACCCAUUUGGGCUCUGCUCAGAGUACAAGAGAAAGAACCGCGACACAGGAACUAGACAUUCCGUUGAGGGAGUGACACGUUCCAAAGCAGAUACUUGCUCUCAACAAAUUGUCUUGGAUAUUUCAAUUUCAUCCCAAACCCUAGUUUGCCAAUUCACAUAAUUUCUCCAUCUAUUAUCAGCUUAUCCUAUGCAUCAAUUCCCAAAUACAAAACAAAUGAUGAAAAUUGAAUUCUAAAUGGAAUCCCAUCCUUCAAUAAAAAUUAAAGUUGAAUUCUAAAGCAGACAACUUACAAUUUACCAAAAGGGAAAAACAAAAUUUCAGUGAAUAAUCUCAUGCUUUCCAACACACACUCUAAAAAGCAAGCAUCAAGCAACUCAGAUGAGCAUAUUUUUCUCAAUAGAAAGAAACACAUAAAAGAAAAACGAAAACCCAAGAGCGCAGCGAGGCGUAUAAAGAACAUUACCGGCGAGGCGGUGGCUUAUGGAUUUUCCUCUUCUUGAGUUCAGGUCCUUCCAUUCUCUCGCGAAUACCGGCUUUCAAAUUUUUCCAAAUUUAUACGAACAGUUGGUGAUAUAGAUCAUGGGUCAUCCCGCAAUAAUAAACUAUUGCGAGUAUAAGGCCCAAAACUAUUAGGGUUGUCGGGUAUGGUCAGGCCCAUAUUUGAAGUGUUCAUAUCCACGUUUGUUUCCACCGGAUAAAUAAACAUCAGGGUUCUCAAUCUUUCACUCCAAAAUAUUGGUGGUGCUAUUUCGUUUUAAUCGAAUUAAUCUAUCGAAAUUUAAUUUUGAUUUUAAACAAAUAUUUAAUUAUAGAUUUAUUUGUUGCAUUAAUCAAAUUAAAUUAUAUUGAAAUAAUCAAGAUUUGAUAUUUAAGUGUUAUUUUAGUUAUCAGUUAAAUUUAAUCAUGUUGAUGUGUAAAAUUAAUAAGGUAGAGAAAUAAAGGAGGAAAUGGAGGUGUUGAUAGAGGUUAGUUCAUCCUGUUUGGACGGAGAACUGGAGAGUAUAAAGAAUAAAGACAGUAGAAGUGUGAACUGGAAGUAGAAUGAUAACUAGUAUGCUUAGACAAUAGAUCCCUACUCCAUUAUCUUGAAGGAUAUUUAUAAGUAAAGUUUCGUGUUAGGUGCUAUUAAUGUGACAAAUCCAUUAUUAGGCCAUAAUUAUUGGAUGUGUAGGGAAAUGCCCGUAAUGGGAUGCAUUAUUAUUCUCCUUAAGUUGUGGUACAGAGUAAUUAAACACAUGUAGAGUUUGGUGAUCAAAAUGAUCACAUCCUUAACAAAAGAUUAGGUAACUGGAGGAAUGAGUGGCUAGUUUCAUUGCACAAUUACCUCCCGCUUGACUGGGUAAUCGAGACAAAAGGUUGAACUUCUGAUGACUACCUGUUACCAUGUGUCUCAAGGUAGGGAAGGUAUAACAAAUCAUGUUAAGCUUUUAUAUAUAUAUAUAUAUAUUAUUUUAGAUUUUUAAUAUGCAUUAAUUUGAUAAUUGAUAGCAGUUAUAAUCUUUAUUCUCUUUUGCUUUUCAUUUAUUUUCAUAAUUUUGUUGGAUAUAUAGAACUCUCUAUUUAAAAAAAUUAAAGAAUUAUUAAUUUUGUUUCGUUACAUACUUCAAAUUAGAUUAAAUAAUAGUACACUCACAAUGUGGAUUAUAAUUUACAUAUAGUACACUCACGAUGCGGAUUACAAUUUUAUGUAAUAAUUUUUAAAAAGAAUUGAUAUAACACUUAAAAUUAAUUUUAAUUAAAAUAGUAAAAUAAAAUUAUUAAAAAUCAUAUUUUUUGGGUUUGAAUCCACUAAAUAUGUAUAAGUACUUUUUAAAAUUUUAUAUUGAAAGACAAAUUUGCUUUAAAAAUAACAUCUACUGUUCUAUAAAAAUGAUUAACUUUUAGUAAAUUCUCCAUUGAAUAGGGAUUUGGUUGAAAUGUGACAUUUAUGUUGGAACAUUUUUAAAAUAUAUAGAGUGUUUCAAUAGUUAUAAAUAAAAAGUUAUAAGUUACCAAAAGUUAUGUCACUUAAUUAAUAAUAAAGGGUAAUAAUUAUUCAAGUAGAUAUCUAUUGAAUAAUUAUGUUUAUGACUAAAGAUAUGACUAUCCAUUUGUGUAAUUAUAUCCCUAUGAGGAGACAUGAGAUUUCUUAUAAAUAGGAGUGAAAUUUCAUUUUCAGGGUAUACCUAUAAAGAAUUACUGCAAUUUUUUUUUAUAGAAAUUGAUAUUAUUGUUUUGCUUCGCUCAAUACUCAGUGGACUGUUACUGUCAGUGCAAAAUGUCGAUAAUCAUUAGUGGUUCAUUGCACCCUCGAGGUUUAGUUUCCAAUAACUCUUUUGCACAUGGUGAGGGCGCAUAGAACCUUAAAAAAGUGACAUUGAUACAAGCUUUAGAGCUUUCAUUCAUUUCACAUAAGCUUAUUUGAUCCUCACACACCUACAAUUUACUUAAUAAAAAAUUAAAUAUUAAUAAAUAUAAAUCUAUUCAAAAGGUGGUUACAAAACUCGUACAAUGCAAAAGCGAAAGCUUAAGAGAUAACAUUCAAAGAGGUGCAGAUAAAAUAGCAAAUGUAGCAUCAACCCCUAAGUUGCAUUGUAGUUGGUUUAAAUAUUUUGUUUCUUAUCUUAUAAAAUAGAUUGUUUUGGUUAAAAAAAUUUGAAUAAAUUAAUCAAAAUUAUUUUAAUUGAAUAAAUUUAUUCUUAAUUGGUUUUGGUUUGAAUUGGAGUUAAUUUGAUUAAUCGAAAUAACCCCAUAAAAUAUGAUAAUAAAAAAUAAAAGAGAGCAAUGAAUGACAUCAUAUUUCAAACACACCCUAUAAUCGUAUUUGCUAUAUAAUAUCUAUUCACAACUUAUUUUCAACAUUGACUUAAAAAGAAACAAACGAACAAUAAAAGAAUCAUAUAUAUCAAACAAAUAUAUUGAUUUAUAUGCAAUUAGUGAAUAUCACAUGCAAUGAAUGGGUGAUAGUAUGAAAAGUCUUAGCUAUGCCUACUAUUAUUAUUGCCUAAACAUGUUCCUUCCAUUUGUAUAUAUACAUAAAAUAAUAAGGGGAUUGGGUGGUGGAGGCCCUGGACCCGUGCUGCUUUGCACCAAGUGACCGAGUAGGAGACAAGGUUGAAUCAUUGUGUUUCUCAACGCAAAAACAUAGAUUUGCCUCACUUAUUCAACUUCAACUAUGUCAUUCCCAACCCCACCUUGCAUAAUUUCUUACUUUUAUUUUAAUAUUUAAUCAUUCACUCUAAAUAAUUAAUAUCACUUACAUGAAAUCUCCCUCAUCAUACACUUAACUAAUCAAUAUUAUUACAUAUGCACACAUAGUAAGGACAUACUUGUGUCAUGAGAUUAGAACUUAAGUCUGGCAAACCAUAUGGUCUUAGAUGAUUUCUUUGUUUUAAAUCAACCUAAGUCAACCUAACUCUCGAAAAGUAAGAAUUCUCUUAAAAAUACUCUAAGGCAUCGAAAAUAAAACAGAAGCAAUUCAAAAGAGAAAGGAACUUAAAUUGAACAGAAAAGCCACAGUAAAAUAAUGCACACAAUGUAUUUGAGUAAAUACUCUAAAUAUAUUCUUUAACUAUCAAUGGAAUAAUUACAAAUGAGAGGUAAUGCCUCUAUUUAUAGUUAAACUCCUCUAGACCUAAUAAUACAGAUUGAAUUAUAUCAACGGCUGAAAUUAGUACUUAUCUACAAUAUAAGAGUCCUAAGGAAUUUAAACUCUAUACAUCUUCUGGUAACUCUAGUUUUACUGGUAUGUUUCACUAGGUAACUAACGCUUCAGGUAGAUGGAUUUUUUCAUGUGUUCCACGAAUCGGGUUAGUUCAAAUGGGUCAAAUGAGCCCCAUUUAAUUAGUUGAUCUCUAUGGGAUGCUCUGUGUGCAUUUGUCAUGGACUUUGAUUCUUGGCUUGCAACAUUGCACUACACAUGUAUACACUACGUCUAAAGAGAGAUGUCCAAAUAAAGAUCUAUCACUUGCUCCACUAGGAGUUUGAAUCCAAUUGAAUUCUAUAAGUAAAUAGCCAUUGAUCACCAAUUACAUCUUCUAUCAUUUCUGCAUCACUCAAGGAACCUAAACAUUUAAGAAUAAUAAUAAUAAUAAAAGUGUUGGUUCAUUUUUGUGGAACAUGAACAUGUUGACGACUACAACUCCUUUGAAGUGUCUAAAUCUAAUCAAAGCAACCCCAUUAGCCAAUUUGCGUGUUGUUUUCUUCCCAGCGUGUUGAGUAUAGAAGACCAAUAAGUAAGUAAGUCAAACAUUGUUGCUAAAGUAGUCGCACUCAAAAGUGUAUGAUCUCCAAUUACUAAAUAAAAAUAACUUAAAUAUUUAAGAUCAAACCAAAUCACAUAUCAUAUUUUGAUGCGUAUAUUGUGUGUGCAACUUUUUUGUUGCUGCUGAAAAAGGAUAAAUCAAAGGCAUGGAGAAGAAGUUGGAUUUGAAAACGGGAAGGGAAAGUGGAAUAAUUAAGACAAGAAUAAUGUCUCACAAACCAUGUGCAGAGAUGCGCCCCACGUGGGAUAGGAUAUGACAUACGUGUGGGUCUCUUCUCUUACAACUUGGUCCUUGCUUUUCCUGUUCUUUUUUGAUGACCCAUGCAUUUUUACAAGGCACCAGCUCAAACCCACACCAGAAAAAGCUUGCAAGCGAAAAGGAAGGUUAGGGUAAGAUAAGCUUUCAAGUACCAUCCACAAAAGACUUUCAAAUUGAAUAUAUACGAGGAAAUCAGAAUAUAUGCCUAAUAAAGUACCUUCGACAUUGUUUUCCAUGUGCCUGCAUGCAUGCAAGUGAAACCAUGACAAAUUAAAAAGUUUACGCAUAGUCUCAUCUAAGUUAUUUCAUCAUUGACAGAACAAGUUCCUGUAUAUUAAUUAACUAUAGCUAAUUGCUCAUUGUUUAACAAAACUUCUUUUUUCCUUAAUUGAUCUGUCAUUUGUAGAAGAGUCUUGGCCUCAUUUAACUAAUACUGGUCAGGGAUGAUAUAUAUAUAUACAAGUAGAAAUAAAGAAGGGAUGGAUGGUUAUCUUAUUCUUACCCCAAAAGGGGAAUGAAAUCAAAUGGUCCAAAACGAAGCAGCAGGGAGCAGGGAUUCUAGAGAGGAAAAAAAAAAAAAAAGAAGAGAGAAAUCUUUUUUGCAGGGGAAAGGAGCCCACAAAGAAAGGGACCUUACAGCAGAGGGCGCUCCCGUUAUAGAAACACAAGAAAUGGUGCAGGAAGUAGAAGGCCAGCCAGUGACAGAGAGUGUCAGAUGGGGAAAGGAAGAAAGGGAAGGUGGGAGGGAGCAGCCAAAUAUGUGGGUCAUAAGUAUUCACUAUAAAAGCUUGUUUUCCUUUUCCUUAACACAACACGACACAUCACUCCAUUUCACCCAACUCAACAUAGACAGGGACAUAAAAUGAGAGAGAAAACAUGAAUGAAACAAAAUCAAGGAAGAAUGUGGCUGCAUGCAGUUUAUAAUUACUUUUGUACUACUUACUAGAUAUCAUGUAUAUGUAUUCCGGUGUUUCGUUUCACCCAGAAAUAUGUGUAAUUUCUCAUCCUUUGUGGGGACGAGAAAUGGCGUGGUGGGGAGAAAAGGCAGCAACAGCAUUUGUGGUAGUGAAAUGAAUCCAAGUUUGUUUUAGCAGAUGCGAAACGUAGGGUAGGGUAGGGACCUUGGUGUUAGGAUCGUUCCGAAUAAGCAACGAACAAGUAAAAAUAGUAGAAGAAAUUGAGAAGAUGAACACACAAAUUUAACGUGGAAAAACCCCUCAAAAGAGGAUAAAAAACCACGGGCAAAGAUAAUUUUACUAUAAUGGCAAAAGAAUGAAGAGUACAAAAGAUGGAGAUAAAAACUAAACCCCGAAAACCCGAAAAACAAAGAACCCUCAAACGUAAACACAAAAUUCUCUGAAUGUGUUAUGAGUUCUAAUCUAAUGGGUGUCUCUUAAUUCUAAGAUUGUAAAGGAGCCUAUUUAUAGGCUAAAUUAGUAAGUCAAAUAAACUAUACUAAUAAAUGCUAAAUAUAUUAUACUAAUAAAUACUAAAUCUUCUAGAAAGAAUAUAUAUUUUUGUUUAACUUGACUUGCAAGCAAUCUCUUAGAAUUUGGGUCACACAAUUCUAACAAUUUCCACCUUGACACGAAUUCUUUCAAUGCCAUCUUUGCCAAAACCCGCCACGGGCCUAUCUUGAACUAUGCAGGGAAUUAACUGAGUCGAAUCUAUGCUUAGAAGGUGGAAGACUUCUAGCCUUCGACUUGUGCACUGCCAAAUCAAAACUAACCCGGGUCUGAUUUUUACGAAUACAGUGCCCUAACUUUUCAAAACCUGCAUCCAAAAGAGAACCUCUCUUCAACGAAACGGUCAUACCUUUUUCCCUCCUAUGACCAAGUUGCCUCCGCUUCAAAUGAGUUGACUUUGACUCCGUAACGGACGAGGGACGUCCGAUUUCACCGGUCACUGUAGAACCUUCCAGAAUAUAAAGACUGCCGGUUAUUUUACCUUUUAACAAAACGAGAGCUCCACGAGAUACUUUAAUGUCGCUCGACUCGAUGUUGAUUCUGCAUCCUUUCAAGUCUAAAAUACUCAAGGAAAUGAGAUUCUUUCGUAAAUCAGGUACAUACCUGACAUCUGAGAGUGUCCUAAUCGUCCCAUCGUGUAUCCUAAUUUUAACAGUACCAAUACCGAUUAUUUUACUAGAUGAAUCGUUUCCCAUGUGCACAACUCCACCUUCAACUGAACUGUAUGUGGAGAACCAUUCUCUAUUGGGACACAUGUGGAAAGAACAUCCUGAAUCUAGGAUCCACUCAGACGUAAGCUUGGAGUUAUCGCUCGUUGACACUAACAAGAAAUCAUCACCGCCUUCAUCGACCAAAUUAGCACCAGCUACAUCUUCCUCGUUACUCUCAGCAGCUCUUUUAUUUCGCAGUUUAUAACAAUCUGCUUUGACGUGACCUAACUUUUUGCAAUAACGACACCUUUUGUCUCGUUUCUUUGAUGCUACCAAAACGGAAGCUUGUCUAUCUGCUUUGCUAUUCAAAUCAAACUCAUUGUCGAGUUUGUCUCUACUCAACAAAUGACCCUUCACAUCUUCGAACGAGAGUUUGUCUCUGCCAUAAAUCAGGGUCUCCCUGAAAGACUUGUAUGAAGAGGGUAAAGAGCACAAUAAUAGCAUAGCUUGAUCUUCAUCGUCAAUAUGAACCUCAACGUUCUUUAAAUCAUUUAAAAGAGUAAUGAAUUGACUGAUGUGAUCUUUAAGAAGCUCACCUUCGUUCAUGCGAAACGUAAAUAGACGUUGUUUCAACACUAAACGGUUAGCCAGAGACUUAGUCGCAUAAAGAGUUUCUAACCUUUUCCACAAGGCGAAUGAGGUCUUCUCCAUCAAUACCUCCUGCAAUACUGUAUUCGCGAGGCACAACUGGAUUGCAGACAAGGCCUUUUUCAUCAAGCUCUUCCCAUUCUGUUUGAUUUAGAUUCUUAGGCUUUUUCCCUGUAACAACCUUUUUCAAGCCAUUUUGAACUAGAAUUGCCAUCAUCCGAACUUGCCACAGAUUGAAAUUUGUCUCACCAUCGAACUUCUCAAUUUCAAACCUUGUUGCUGCCAUCUCUGACCGGGCUGAUCUAUGAAAGUUAAACUAGCUCUGAUACCACUUGUUAGGAUCGUCCCGAAUAAGCAACGAACAAGUAAAAAUAGUAGAAGAAAUUGAGAAGAUGAACACACAAAUUUAACGUGGAAAACCCCCUCAAAAGAGGAUAAAAAACCACGAGCAAAGAUAAUUUUACUAUAAUGGCAAAAGAAUGAAGAGUACAAAAGAUGGAGAUAAAAACUAAACCCCGAAAACCCGAAAAACAAAGAACCCUCAAACGUAAACACAAAAUUCUCUGAAUGUGUUAUGAGUUCUAAUCUAAUGGGUGUCUCUUAAUUCUAAGAUUGUAAAGGAGCCUAUUUAUAGGCUAAAUUAGUAAGUCAAAUAAACUAUACUAAUAAAUGCUAAAUAUAUUAUACUAAUAAAUACUAAAUCUUCUAGAAAGAAUAUAUAUUUUUGUUUAACUUGACUUGCAAGCAAUCUCUUAGAAUUUAGGUCACACAAUUCUAACACUUGGCUUGUGGUGUCCCAAAUGGUUGGGCAAAGAGAACUUUCAGUCGUCCAAUCCAAUAUCAGUCCUUUCAGGGUCUUCAAUCUUCGUCUUCUUCGAUCUCUCUCUCUCUCUUAGCCUGGCCUGGCCUGCUCUGCUCUGCUCUGCUCUGCCCUGCUCGACUCUGUCUCUUCUCCACCGUCCUUCAAGGACUGCCACAAGUAAAAAACGAAGAAUGAAAUCCUAAAGGACAAAAGCAACUUCUUAACUGCACGUGUGACCUGUCACGUGUCUUUUCAUCUCUCUGGUUCUGGUCCUUUUUUUUUUCUUCUUCUUUUCACACUGAUUAUUUCUUUACAUUUUUACUCACUUUUUUUCUUUGCUGAGACGACAAAUGCCUUUAGUUUAAAUCAAUGAACCUUUCUUUUUGACUAAUUACUGAAAAUUUUGUUUAGCUAACGAGUGUGCUAAAGUACUUUAUAGCAUAGCAUUACUGCUGUAUUAAUCAGUAGAAAAAGUAGGAAUUUCAAUAAAGUGCAUAGGUAGACCAAAUUUUUUUAUUUUUAUUGUUGUGAGAUUCGAACCCAUAUCUUUAAAAAGUUUUAGUGUUUUUAUUUUUUUAUUUUUUUGGGAAAUUAUUUAGAUAUACAUUCAAAUUUCAAUGUAUUUUUAUUUAAGUCACAAAUUUUUUUUUUAAAUUUAAUUUCUCUCUUUAAGUCAAUUUUCUAUUUUAAUCAAUUCUGAAAUGGGUUUAUCGAAAGAACAUAGUUUGAUUAAAAUGAGAUUGAUAUCAGGAUAAAUGAAACAGUAAAAAGAGUUAAGAUCACAUGUUAAUUAACAUAUUAUUUUUAAUAAUAAAAUAACUACAUUAAUUAUUAUUUUUACAUUGAUCUGUAUAAUAUUGUAUUAUAAUAAUUCUUUUCUGCCCUUAUUAAAAAUAAAAUAAAAUUUCAGACAUAUUUAAGUAUAUCAAUUACUAAAAAAGGUAAACAACAAAAUGGUAUAGAAAAUAGAAAAAAAGUGAUAGCAGUGCAGAAGUGAGCUGCCGGAGGAGGAGGCCAGAAAUUAUUAAAAAGUCACACCUCCACCAACCUCUCGUGAAAAACUCCAUUUCACUUAUCGGGAAUUGAACCCUCUAUCAAACAACUACAAACCACACACACUACAUAUAUAAUACACAUAUAUACUGCCUACUGCAUAUAUACUAUUGUAUAGGAGACAAAAAAGAAUAGAGUAAAAAAAAAAAACACACACACAACCUCAACUUCUCUAUUAAUAUUGCUGAAAAUCAAACCAAUCUGUCUAUCCUUAAGAGGAAACUUAGCAUCCAUACAAACUAAGAGAGAAAAUAAAAGAGUGAUCUUUACGAGAGUAUCUGAAACGGAAAACAACAAACAGGAUUUGGUUUGAUUCUUUGAUUCCCUCUUCCCUCUUAUCAUCAUCCUCAUCAUGUGUAACCAAACCACCACCGCUUCCAUCCUUACUUCUACUCAGAACUCUUCUCAAACCCACCUUUAUUUCCACCCUGGAAAGCAUAGGCAUCACCAUGACCAUGGAGCUCAUCACCUAUGCGCUUCGAUCUCUGACAUCAUAACUGAAGCUAAAUCACUCUUCAAUCUAGCCUUCCCCAUAGCCUUGACUGGUCUCAUUCUCUAUUCUCGUUCCAUCAUUUCCAUGCUCUUCCUUGGCCAUCUUGGCGAUAUCCAACUGGCUGCCGGUUCAUUAGCUAUAGCCUUUGCUAACGUCACCGGCUACUCUGUCCUUUCCGGCCUUGCUUUAGGUAUGGAGCCACUGUGUUCACAAGCCUUUGGAGCUCAAAGACAUAAACUUUUAUCUUUAACCCUUCACCGCUACGUUAUUUUCCUCCUAUUCGUUUCCAUAUUGAUAUCCUUUCUUUGGAUAAACAUGUUCAACAUUAUGGUUUAUCUUCGUCAAGAUCCUAAUAUCACCCGCAUCGGCCAAAGGUACUUACUGUUUUCCCUACUUGACCUCUUCACCAACUCUUUCAUUCACCCAAUACGCAUUUACCUUCGCGCUCAAGGCAUCACCCACCCGCUCACUUUAGCAACCCUCGCCGCUACCAUUCUCCAUUUACCCAUCAGCUUCUUACUCGUCUCCCAUUUCAACUUGGGCGUCGCCGGGGUAGCCGCUUCUGCUUCCAUCUCCAACUUCUUCGUUCUCGUCUCCCUAGUUGUUCACAUUUGGGCCUCAGGCCUCCACCAUCCCACGUGGGAAAAACCCACUUUGGAGUGUUUAACCGGCUGGAAGCCGCUGCUCAAGCUAGCCGCGCCAAGCUGUGUUUCUGUUUGUUUGGAGUGGUGGUGGUACGAGAUCAUGAUCGUGAUGUGUGGGCUUUUGGUGAACCCGAAGGCGCCGGUUGCUUCAAUGGGGAUAUUGAUUCAAACGACGUCGUUGUUGUACGUUUUCCCUUCUUCGUUGGGUUUCGCAGUUUCGACCCGUGUCGGAAACGAAUUAGGGGCAAACCGUCCUAAUAAAGCGAGAUUAUCGGCUGUGGUGGCGGUUUUCGUAUCAGCCAUGAUGGGCUUAUCAGCGUCGACGUUUGCAUCAGGGAUGAGAAAUAAGUGGGCCAGGAUGUUCACAUCUGAUCCUGAGAUCCUACGGCUGACAUCCAUUGCACUACCUAUCCUAGGGUUAUGCGAGCUGGGGAACUGCCCGCAAACAGUGGGAUGUGGGGUCCUCAGAGGGAGUGCACGUCCUUCCACCGCAGCUAAUGUGAACCUCGGGGCAUUUUACUUGGUGGGCAUGCCCGUUGCGGUCGGACUCGGAUUCUAUGUCGGAGUCGGAUUUUCUGGGGUAUGGUUGGGCCUACUUUCGGCCCAGGUGUGUUGCGCUGGGCUUAUGUUGUAUGUGGUGGGGUCCACUGACUGGGACCUACAAGCCAAGAGGGCCCAGAUGCUGACGUGUGUAGAUACUACAUGGCUACCUCACGAUUUUGAUAACAAUAGUAAGGGUGAGGAAGAACAACAGCCGUUGAUUUGCAGUGUGCUGACUUCAGCUGCCUAAUUAACCUAAAUUAGCAGUAGUAAAUUUAGAAUCUGAUAUUUAUUUAUUUUUAGUAAAUUUAUUUCUUCAUUGCUUGAUAAGAAUUAACAAAUAAAGAAAGGCAAAAAAAAAAAAAAGGUUUUUGUUUUCUCUAUUUCAACAUCUUCAGUAAUACUGCUAUAUAAUUAAAACUAAUGCUAAUUUGUUCUUCAUUUUUAAAUUUUAUUUUAUUUUAAACUUCACUUUCACAUUUUUUUGUUAACCUCAAACCAAGCAAUAACCACAUCUUUAAUUCUUUACAUCAAAUUUAGUUUAAUUCAUUUAAAUAAAUUUAUCAGUUUCUUUUUAUAUUAUAUAAAUAUUUUUUUUCUAUGUAUGUAAUAUAUAAACGCUAGGUAGUGCUAUGAAUAAUAGUUUUAGUUGUGAAUAUAAAAUUACACAAAAUUAAAAUUUACAUUCAACAUUAUGUAUUUGACCAAAGUUUAUUUAUCCUCUCUUUAACUCUAAAUAGGAAGAUAAGUGUACUUUAGCAUAAUUGAAUUUAUGUCCUCUUCUACUGAUAAAAAAUCAAAGUUAAUUAAAUUAAGACUUGAUUAAUUUUUUUAAAAUAAUGAAAUUAUAUUUUAAUAUAUAAAAAUAUUUUUUUUUUAUUUCAAUAGAAAUUUCUACCUUGGUAUACAAUCAAAUUAGAUUUGUUUUUAAAAAGAUGAUAGUGUGGAACUGAGGGAAGUUUGAUAAAGAAGCAAAGAAUAAUGUAGUCCCACCAUGUUUUUAUUUAUUUGGUUAGGGACUUCCUUCUUUUGGAAUUUCAUGGUUUCACCUCCAUUUGAUGUUGUCAACCUUUGUAAUCAGGAUGGAUCUAUAAUUUUACUUUAAGGGGGUAAAUUUAUUUUUAAUGUAAAAAAGUAUUAAUUUUUUCAGAUUUUAUUAAUUUAAUGUUUUUUAAAAAGCACAAAUGAUUUAAUUAUAAAAAAAUUAAAAGAAAAAAUUAUAUUAUACACAAUUAAAUAUUCAUUUCUAAUAAGCAAAAAAGAAUAACUAAUAUUAUGCCAAAAAUUUCAUAAAUAUCAUUAUAAUUCCAAAAAUUAAAUUAAAAAAACUUGACCUUAGUCCUAUUUCUCAAUACUAGGCAUCCUAAAUUGCACCCUCCGCUCUUUCAUAAGAUCGAACUCUUCAAUGAUAGAAUCUGUUGAAAAUUCUCGAGCUAUCUUUUUUUUCAAUAUAUGCCACCAAGUAAGUUGAAAGAAAAUCAUCCUCUAUUCUAUUGCAAAGCAUUGUCUUCACAAUUUUCAUGGCUGAAAAUGAUGAUUUAGUUGUUGCAAUAGACACAGGAAGAGUUAGCAAAAGACGAAUAAUUCUAUUAAGAAGAAAAUAAAUACUUGACGAAUAAUUCUGGAAUUUGACUUUAAAAUCCAUAUUGAGCCUUUAAGUUUAGUUUUUUAAGGCUCAUCAUACAUUAAUAUUUGAUUGUUAUUAAAGUUAUAUAAUUAAAAACUGAAAAAUACUUUGUUAAUAUAAAAUAUAACCUUAUGGCUUAAGGAGACAAAUUAUAUGAAAUACAAUUUGAUCAAAGGAAGCGAAUGUUAUAAAGUGUGCACACCAAAUCUAAAAUAUAUGAUAAUUGAUAUAUAAAAGUUGAAAUUCUAAAAAUUCUAAAAAUUCUAAAGGUGGAAUCACCCCCGCACCUCUAGAUACAUCCCUAUUUGUAACAUUUUUCAUAUUUCAACUAAAUAGAUUUUUUUAUUAAAUUAUACUAAUCAUUAAUAAAUCAAAUGAUGCCAUAGAUCCUUAUGAUUUUAUCAUUUUUAAAGGAUCUUUAUUAUUUUAACCUGUUAGAAUUAAAUGACCCGAAUCCUUCAGUGGUACUAGAAUAUGGCUUUACAAGCCUAUAAAUAGGCAUAGUCUAUUCCUCUUGUAAUCAUUAUAAUUCGACAUAGUGAAUUUUAUUCUCCUCUGCCCGUGGUUUUUUCCAGAAAUGUUUUCCACGUAAAAAUUUGUGUGUUCUUUAUUUAUUUUAUUUUAUUUUAUUUUCACAAAUUGGUAUCUGAGCUUCCGGGUUGUUCAUCUUGAUCACGGCAAUGGCAUCUUUAAAGUAUGAAAUUUCACUGUUGGGUCGCAACACUAGAUUUGCGUUGUGGCAGAUUAAGAUGCCCUACUACGGAUAGCUAAGAUGCCUUCGAUAUUAACAGAUGAAGAGAAGAAUCAUAAGGAUCAAAAGACAUUAACACAAUUACAUCUGCAUUUGUCCAACGAAAUUUUACAGGAUGUGAUGAAAGAGAAGACUGCCACUGUAUUACGGAAGAGGCUAGAAAAAAUAUAUAUGUCGAAAACUCUAACAAGCAAGUUGCAUAUGAAGCAGCGUCUUUAUGCUCAUCGUUUGGAGGAAGGUGCGUCUAUACAUGAACACUUAACAGUGUUUAAAGAAAUUCUCUCAAACUUAGAGGCCAUGGAGGUUCAGUAUAAUAUGGAAGAUCUAGGGUUGAGUCUACUUUGUUCGUUGCCCCCGUCUUAUUCAACCUUUAGAGACACGAUUUUAUACAGCCGUGAGUCUCUCACAGUUGAUGAGGUUUAUGAUUCUUUGACCUCGUAUAAUAAGAUGAAGCAUCUUGUGGUUAAACACGACUCUCAAGGAAAGGGUCUCAUUGUUCGUGGGAGACAAGAUCGAAAUGCUGAUGAUGAUCGUGGAAGGACACAGGAACGAAAUCCUCGCGGUAAAUCUAAGGGUAAAUCAAAGUCUUCAAACAGAGGUAAAACUUGUAACUUCUGCAAGAAGAAAGAGCAUAUUAAAUCUGAGUGCUAUAAGCUACAGAACAAGAUUAAAAGGGAGGCUGCGAAUCAAAAAGGAAAACAACCAGAAAAUUCUCGUGAAGUUAAUGUUGUAGAAGACUACAGCGAUGGUGAACUUUUAGUCGCUUUGGUCAACAAUUCUAAAGUGAGCGAUGAGUGGAUACUUGAUUCAGGCUGUACCUUCCACAUGAGUCCUAAUCGGGAUUGGUUUACAACUUACGAAACAGUCUCUGAAGGUGUUGUUUUGAUGGGAAAUAAUGCUUCGUGUAAAAUUACAAGUGUUGGAACAAUUAAAGUUAAGAUUUUUGAUAGAGUUUUCAGAACACUUAGCGACAUACGACAUGUUUCAGAAUUGAAAAGAAAUUUAAUUUCGUUGAGUACUCUUGAUUCAAAAGGGUACAGAUACACAACUGAAAGUGGGGUAUUAAAGAUUUCCAAAGGUUCUCUUGUUGUGAUGAAAGGGCAGAGAAAGACUGCCAAGUUAUAUGUUUUGCAAGGUUCUACUAUUACUGGUGAUGCAGCUAUCGCUUCCUCUUCCUUGUCAGAUGAUGAUAUUACUAAACUUUGGCAUAUGCGGCUAGGGCAUAUGAGUGAGAAUUGCAUGGCAGAAUUAAAAAAAAGAGGUCUUCUUGAUGGGCAAGAAAUUUGCAAACUGAAUUUCUGUGAGCACUGUGUUUUUGGGAAGCAAAAGAAAGUUCGAUUCGCCAGAAGAAUCCAUAACAUGAAGGGAACAUUAAAGUAUAUUCAUUGUGAUCUAUAGGGACCAUCCAGAGUGCCUUCGAGAGGUGGAGCUAAUUAUAUGCUAACCUUUAUUGAUGAUUUUUCCAAAAAAGUUUGAGCGUUCUUCUUGAAGCAGAAAAUCGAUAUGUUUUUUGCAUUUAAGUCUUGGAAAAUUAUGAUUGAAUAACAGAUGAGAAAUAAAAUAAAAUACCUCCGUACAGACAAUAGCUUAGAGUUCUGUUCUGAUGAGUUUAAUAGAUUGUGCAAGUUAGAAGGGAUCGUGAGACACUUGACAGUUCGCCAUACUCCACAGCAAAAUGGCGUUGCAGAACGAAUAAACAGAAUGAUCAUGGAGAAAGUUCGAUGUAUGUUGUCAAACACCAACUUACCAAAGUCGUUUUGGGCCGAAGCAACCUCUACUGUAUAUUUUUUUAUCAACCGAUCCCCAUCCGUUGCCAUUGAGAAAAAGACUCCGCAAGAGGUAUGGUUUGGUAAUCCUGCAAAUUAUUCUGAUUUAAAGAUUUUUGGGUGUCCUGCGUAUGCUCAUGUUGAUAAUGGAAAAUUGAAACCGAGAUCCAUUAAAUGUGUUUUUCUUGGUUAUAAAGCUAGUGUAAAAAGGUAUAAGUUAUGGUGUCCUAAAAAUAGAAAAGUUGUGAUUAGCAGAGAUGUUGGUUUUGAUGAAACUGCUAUGCUGCCUAACUUAUCUCUUAAAUACUCUUCCAAUAAAGAAAAUAAAAAGCAGGUGGAGCAUCAUAUUAAUACAGAGUCGACUCCUCAAGCCAGUACAAAAAUUGAUAAUAGAGUUGCUUCUUCACCGCAAUACUCUAUUGCUAAAAACAGAACUAGAAAGAAAUUAAACUUCCAAAAAAUUAUGCUGAGGCUGAUCUAGUUGCUUAUGCUAUAAAUGUGGCUGAAGAUAUAGAUGGGAAUCAAGAGCCAUCUAAUUAUUCUGAGGCGGUUAGCUGUGAAGACGCAGAAAAGUGGAUGUUUGUUAUGCAAGAAGAGAUGGAAUCACUCCACAAAAACAUAACAUGGGAUCUUGUGAAGCUUCCUAAAGGUAAAAAGGUUAUUCGUUGUAAAUAGGUGUUUAAAAAGAAAGAAGGGACUCUAGGAGUUGAAGAACCCAGAUAUAAAGUACGGCUUGUUGCAAAGGGUUACAGUCAAAUUCCAAGAGUGGACUUCAUAGAUGUGUUCUCCCCAGUUGUUAAGCAUAGUUCGAUUCGAGCUUUACUUGGUAUUGUGACCAUGCAUGAUUUGGAGCUUGAGCAGUUAGAUGUAAAAACUGCAUUUUUGUAUAGAGAACUUGAUGAGGAUAUUUAUGUAACACCCCUAUCCCGUAACCGUCGCCGGAAUCGGACGAGGAGUUACCAGACAAUUUGGAAGCAGAUCAAAACAGUAAAAUUUUGAAAGUAUGAAUUGAAUAAAUGAGAUAUUAAAUUGAGAUAUGUGAAUAUGUGAAUUGUGUAUUGAUUGAAAAGUGGUUUGAAUUGAAUCGAAGUAUGAUUAUAUGUGAAUAUCUGAAAUAUGUAUUGGUAUUGAAUUGUAUAUUGAUUUGAAAGUGGGAAGUGAAUCUGAGUUGAAUUGCGAUUAAAUCGAAAGUGAAUUUGAAAUAGAAAAAUGUAUUGAAACAAAUGGUGAUUAAAUGGGAAUGAUUUGAAUUGAAAGUAUGAGAAAGUGAUUGAAUUGAAAUGUGAUUCGGAAACCCUAUUAACUAGUCGGGCUGAGUCGGAUAUAGUUGGCAUGCCAUAGGAUUGGAAGAGUUCAGGGAUACUUCGACCUUGAGUCGAUGAGACACUGGGUGUCACUAUAUUUCUUCGGAUAGAUUCGAUGAGGUACUGGGUACCAACUUUACUUCGGCUGGGCCGAUGAGACACUGGGUGUCAACUAUUGCUUCGAACUAUCCGAUGAGGCACUGGGUGCCAUUUUGGUGUGUUUGGUUGGAUCCGUGUAUCCGCCAAGGUCCGAGUCUUGUUAAUAGGGGUAAAUAAUUGAAAUGAGAAAAUUGAAUAAAUGUGAUUGAUUGAGCUAUGGGAAGAAACGAAAAAGUGAAGUUGUGAAUUGAUGUGUGAAUUGGAAAUCGAAAUAAGAGAUUUAAAGAUAUGAGCCCAAAGUUUAUGAUGUGAUAAAGAGUAAAUUUUGUUAUAUGAUAUUAGUGAGUACAAAUUGCAAUAAAAUUUAUAUUGAAUAUAAAUUAAAUGAAAUGAAUUGUAUAUGAAUUGAAAUGAACUAUUGGAAUGAGAUGUAAAGAAAAAUCCAAUAGAAUUGAGAUAGUGAAAUAAGGUAUGAAUACAAUUAAAUACAAGAUUUGAAUUAUAGCUUAUUGUUAUUAAUUAUCAAGUUGAUUUAAUGCAUGAGAUAAUUAAUGAAUAAUUGUAGACAUAAAUAAAAUGUAUAUAAUUUAUCGAUUAAUGUUAUUAAUUCGAAUUAUGGUAAUACCACUGAGUAUUUCCAUACUCAGCGUACGGUUGUUUCCGUGCGCAGGUUAGGUCAAAGUCGGAUUGUUGAAUCAGCAUCCAAAGCCGAUUCUGAGCUAAUUGUGGUGGUGAACAUUUCUUUUAGUUAUGGCAUGUAUAGGAAUUUAGUAAUUUUGUAUAUUUGUAAAUAUGAUUUCACUAUAGAAUGAUGUGUAAGUAUUUGAUGAUGAAUGGUUGUUUAAAUGGUCAAGGAUGAAGUUAAUUAUUGUUAUAAAAGUCUAAGUGAUAAAUUAGGUAUGAAAGUCAUAAAAUGGUAAAAUUUUGCAAAGAAACAGAAUUCAGGCAGCAAUAGUGACGUGAAUUUGAAAAAUCACCCAAGAUAGUAUAAAAUGAAUUAGAGGGUGAAUGAUAUAUGGAAUUAAAGCUUGUUGAGUCUAUUUUCAUGGAAAAAUAACGGUGUAGAGAAAAGAAAUUUAUAUUUUAAGAUAUGUGAAUUUUAGUAAGAUAGGGUCAGAACUGUUUUUGGAGUCCCCUGUUCUGAGUUUAGAAAAUAAUUACAAAUUGUACAAAAAUGGUUAUGAGUUGAAAUUUACAUGCUUAGAUUCCUUAAUGAGUCUAUUUUCUAUAGAAACAAGUAAGAACUUCAUAUGAAAAUCCUAUAGUGAGAAAACUUAUUUUUAGUGACUAGAGGUCAGGGCAGUCUGGUGGUGACACAGGGGAGACUUUAACUAAUAAACUGUACUAAUUUGCUGAACCAAAAAUUCUAAAAAUUUUAUGGUGAGUAUAUAUAUGAGUCUAGUUUCAG